AAGAUGCAGCCAUCAAGAGGAAGAUUGAGUACAAUAUGUAACAGUUCUAGAAUAUUCAGAUUAGUCUAGAAUAUAACAUUUCCAAAACUUCCAGAACGGAUACAACAAGGUUUUAAGAACUAAAACUAGUUUCAUUAUUUACUUUCAUUACCAAAUAUAAUUUUUUUUUAUCCUAAUGUUGUUAUCCCCAAAAAUAAACUUCAAUUUAACCCUCAACUUUAACCAUUUAUACCCCCAUCAUAUCACAUACCACUUUCAAAUUCCAUAAGGACUCAGGCAUUCUUAACAUUCAUUAUCUAUACAUAUAAAAAAACAUAACUCAUGCAAUUAGGUUCAGACUUAACCCAAUUAUUUUCUAGAAUCAACA
RNAcentral lists this long non-coding RNA (367 nucleotides) under Vigna radiata. Its description in RNAcentral is "long non-coding RNA (VRAD_LNC010362)". Lineage: Eukaryota; Viridiplantae; Streptophyta; Magnoliopsida; Fabales; Fabaceae. The record is from RNAcentral.